This 246-nucleotide ribosomal RNA is filed under the name uncultured bacterium. RNAcentral's name for it is "partial 16S ribosomal RNA". It matches the Rfam family "Bacterial small subunit ribosomal RNA", at positions 111 to 353 of the family's 1533-position model. The record is from RNAcentral.
UAACACGUGGGUAACCUGCCUUAUCGUGGGGGAUAGCCUUUCGAAAGGAAGAUUAAUACCGCAUAAGAUCGUAGUAUCGCAUGAUAUAGCAAUUAAAGGAGCAAUUCGCUAUAAGAUGGACCCGCGUCGCAUUAGCUAGUUGGUGAGGUAAUGGCUCACCAAGGCGACGAUGCGUAGCCGACCUGAGAGGGUGAUCGGCCACAUUGGGACUGAGACACGGCCCAGACUCCUACGGGAGGCAGCAUG